Molecule: unclassified non-coding RNA, 224 nt
Filed under: uncultured fungus
Lineage: Eukaryota; Fungi
Description: sequence contains ITS1, 5.8S rRNA gene
Source: RNAcentral
UCUCCGUAGGUGAACCUGCGGAGGGAUCAUUACUGAGUGAGGGCUUCGGUCCGACCUCCAACCCUUUGUGAACCAAACUUGUUGCUUCGGGGGCGACCCUGCCGUUUCGACGGCGAGCGCCUCCGGAGGCCUUCAAACACUGCAUCUUUGCGUCGGAGUUUAAGUAAAUUAAACAAAACUUUCAACAACGGAUCUCUUGGUUCCAGCAUCGAUGAAGAACGAGC